This 459-nucleotide ribosomal RNA is filed under the name uncultured bacterium. RNAcentral describes it as "bacterial SSU rRNA". It matches the Rfam family "Bacterial small subunit ribosomal RNA", at positions 28 to 369 of the family's 1533-position model. The record is from RNAcentral.
GAUGAACGCUGGCGGCGUGCUUAACACAUGCAAGUCGAGCGGGCAAUUUAUCUAGCACUGAUUACUUCAAAUGGAAAUCAUAAGUGUAAUCAUGAAUUUCUACCUUUAAUAAAGAAAAAAGAAAUUCAUGUACGCAAAUAGUGAUAACACAUGAAAGUGGAGUGAUGAGUGCUGGAUAAAUUGCUAGCGGCGGACGGGUGCGUAACACGUGGGUAACCUGCCCCUAUCACUGGGAUAACACACUGAAAAGUGUGCUAAUACCAGAUAAUAUAAGCUUUUGGCAUCAUUAGCUUAUCAAAGAAUUUCGGAUAGGGAUGGGCCCGCGUCUGAUUAGCUAGUUGGUGAGGUAACGGCUCACCAAGGCGACGAUCCGUAACUGGUCUGAGAGGAUGAUCAGUCACACUGGAACUGAGACACGGUCCAGACUCCUACGGGAGGCAGCAGUGGGGAAUAUUGGAC